UGAUGACGAGACGCUAAGGCGUUGAAGCAGUGUAUGUCAGACUUCCAAGAAAAGCUCGCAAUGUCACAAAUAAAGAAUGCCUGUACCAUAACCGACACAGGUGGGUAGGUAGAGUAUACUAAGGGGCGCGAGAUAACUCUCUCUAAGGAACUCGGCAAAAUGACUCCGUAACUUCGGGAGAAGGAGUGCCUUAUUUAUAAGGUUGCAAUAACAAGAUCCAAGCAACUGUUUAUCAAAAACACAGGUCUCCGCUAAGUCGUAAGACGAUGUAUGGGGGCUGACGCCUGCCCAGUGCCAGAAGGUUAAAGAAGUUGGUUAGUGUAUGCGAAGCUGAUGACUGAAGCCCUGGUGAACGGCGGCCGUAACAAUAACGGUCCUAAGGUAGCGAAAUUCCUUGUCGGGUAAGUUCCGACCCGCACGAAAGGCGUAAUGAUUUGGAUACUGUCUCGGAGAGAGGCUCGGUGAAAUAGACUUGUCUGUGAAGAUGCGGACUACCUGCACCAGGACAGAAAGACCCUAUGAAGCUUUACUGUAACUUGAAAUUGGAAUUGGACUUUGCUUGCGCAGUAUAGGUGGGAAGCGUUGAAAAUAUUCUUGCGGGAGUAUUGGAGCUAUCAGUGAGAUACCACUCUUGUAAUGUUAGAUUUCUAACUUUGAACCAUAAUCUGGUCAAAGAACAGUUUCAGGUGGGCAGUUUGACUGGGGCGGUCGCCUCCCAAAUGGUAACGGAGGCGUACAAAGGUUUCCUCUGAACGGAUAGAAAUCGUAUCUAGAGUGUAAAGGCAUAAGGAAGCUUGACUGUGAGACCUACAAGUCGAGCAGGGACGAAAGUCGGUCUUAGUGAUCUGACGGUACUGAGUGGAAAGGCCGUCACUCAACGGAUAAAAGUUACUCUAAGGAUAACAGGCUGAUCUCCCCCAAGAGUUCACAUCGACGGGGAGGUUUGGCACCUCGAUGUCGGCUCAUCGCAUCCUGGGGCGGUAGUACGUCCCAAGGGUUGGGCUGUUCGCCCAUGAAAGCGGUACGCGAGCUGGGUUCAGAACGUCGUGAGACAGUUCGGUCCAUAUCCGGUGUAGGCGCUAGAAUAUUGAGAGGAGCCUUCUUUAGUACGAGAGGACCGAGAAGGACACACCGCUGGUGUACCAGUUAUCGUGCCAACGGUAAACGCUGGGUAGCUAUGUGUGGAGUGGAUAACCGCUGAAAGCAUCUAAGUGGGAAGCCCACCUCGAGAUGAGUAUUCUC
Molecule: ribosomal RNA, 1242 nt
Filed under: metagenome
Description: bacterial LSU rRNA
Rfam family: Bacterial large subunit ribosomal RNA
Source: RNAcentral